RNAcentral lists this long non-coding RNA (4308 nucleotides) under Homo sapiens (human). RNAcentral describes it as "LHRI_LNC1138.20". The record is from RNAcentral. Lineage: Eukaryota; Metazoa; Chordata; Mammalia; Primates; Hominidae.
CAGAGUGAGACUCCACCUCAAAAAAAAGAAAAAAGGAAAACCAAGCAAAAGUCACUGUCAGGGGACCUCCCACCCACCAUACAGGGGAACACUCGGCAGAGCCAGAGGCCUGGGCCCAAGUCCUGCCACCAGCUGGCUGUGAAACUGUGGUACAGCACCUUGUGUCCUGCCACCAGCCGGCUGUGAAACUGGUACAGCACCUUGUCCUCAGGUCCUUGGUUUCCUCACUUGUAAAUUCAUGGUUCUCCAUGGCAUCUCUGGUCUUCAACAUUAUUUUGCAUAGAGUCUCAGAAGCUUUAGUGUGAGCGGAUGAUAUGGGCACGAAGCAAGGCACCCAGAAGUGGGGGCAACUACUCUGCUUUCUAAAAUGCAAGGGAACCGGAAAAUCCAGGAGCCGUGCCAAAGUCUAUGUUCCCUUUAUGAGCUGUAACGCACACCAUGAAGGUCUGCGGCUUGGCUAUUGAGUCAGUGAGAGCGUGAACCUACUAUUAGAAGAAAAACUCUGAAUACGUCUGAACGUCAGAAAGAACGAAGUUUGGACACAUUGUCUUUAAGAACUGUAACACUCACCCCAAGGGUUUAUGGAUUCAUUCUUGAAAUCAGUGAAACCAAAAGCUUUCCAAAGUUUAACACACAGGGAAAUGACUUACUGCAAAGAACCACUCUUCCCCACGAGACUUCGAGAAGACCCGCUGUCACGGACUGAGUUGUGUCCUCUUAAAAUUCAGAUGUUGGAGUCCAAACCCCCAGUAACUCAGAGUGUGAACGUAUUUGAAGAGGUCUUUAAAGAGGUGAUGAAGGUCUUUGUCUCUGACAAUUUGCCUCUGUGACGUGGAUGGGACUGGAAGUCCAUUUGGAGCCCUGUCUUCUCCACCUAGGGAGAGAGACCCCAUGAGCUCGUCAAGCUCCUUCUGUGACUGAUCAGAGAUCCCACCGUGAGUCCAGCUCCUGGUCCCAUGCUCUGGAUAUAUCGGUCCCUGGCAGCGUGAGUGCCUCUGUGUUCACUGUCCCAUUUGAGAAUUCUAAGUAGAAUUCUGAACAGGCUGGAGCAGAUUGCCCACCCCAAGGGACAGAUGUUGGCUGGUACUGUUGGUAUUCAUGGAAGAUUCCUUCUGACACUCCCUCCUUCUUUGUAAUUGCCAUGAACUGGAGCACUGGGCCAAUAUAAAUCAUCCAAGGGUGAACACGCUGCACAUGGACGGCUCCUCUUUGUUUUUGAAGGGAUUCCAUCUCUAUUUUGCCAUGUGCUCCUUCACCCCACUCCCCACCCCCGUCUUUCAUUUCUUUCUCUGGAAAAGAUACUUCAACUCACAGGACUGCGAUGUUGAAACGGACACCCAAGAGCAUCACAGAUGGGCCAGGCCUGGACCUCUCGGGACAACAUUCCUCACGACUUUUAGAUAGAAGAGAUUAGAGAUUUGGGACUGGUGGCAACUGGUAACGUUUUCAGUGUUUGGUAAACAGCCAGGGUCCGGAGCUCUGGGAACAGCCUGAUUUAGCUCUUUGUUUAAGUUUUGUGUUAGAGGCUCCCAAGAAGCUGAUGCAGGGGAAAGAAAUUAACAACCAUGGCUCAUUCACAGCCAGGCAGCCAAAUGGACAGCUCUAUAAGACUCAAGCCGACAGCGGAGAGAGUGCAACCAAACAGCCUUGGCCCAGCUUUCAGAGGAGAACGUUAUUCACCCCAACUGCUCUGCAUCUGCCUGGAUGUCUGCCAAGAUCUGUGAGCAUUACAGCGUUGGUAUGCUUUGGGUGAGGCCUGUGGCUAUGGCAACAAGUUGGGAGCAACCCGGUCCCUGGGAAUGAGAACAGUGUCUAAAAUCAGGCAGGCGAGGGGCAGGGAGGAGAGGUAAAGGUUGGACUUGCCUGAAGAUGGAGCCGUUUUAUUGUUGUGGGUAAAGCUGCUACCAUUAGGGGCUGUUUACAGAGUGGGUGCAGCUCAAGCUGGGAGCAUGUUAGACUCAGCGACUACGAUCAACCUAUUGACUUGUUCCCAUGAGACAGAGUAAAUUAACUGUUGCAGUACUGGUCAUGUACCACCAACCUCCUGUGAACCAGCCCUCAGUGAAACAUUUAUGUGAAAGGCCAUGGUGUUCCCAUAAGAGGGUGCAUGUUCUCUCCCUUGACUAACUCUUCAGUAUGCCUCAUUCUCACGCGCUGGUGUGCAGGAAGGAGUCCAACAUGCCCCAUUGACAGUCAUGCCCUGUAUGUGGAAAGUCUUCAGGUAGAGCACUGGGCUCAGGUUUGAAGAUGUGAGUUCUAAUCCUAGCAAGGCCAUUACCUCCCAGUGACCUCAUGUCUCGAUUUCCUCAACCACAAAACAAAGGCAUUGGUGAGCUGACCUCUAAGGCCUCUCCAGUUCUCACCUUCUGUGUCUCUACAGACUGGAGACUAGAAGAUUAUGGGCACUUUUAUUGAGUCUUCAUUUUGUUUCCAUUUCUUUGUAGUCAUCAGCUGGAGUUGAGGACAAGUUUUAACAAUAGAUAGGUUUCUUUUUGUCUCUUUUUAAAAAAUUUUAUUUAAAAUAAAUGCCAAGUGUAGUGGCUCAUACCUGUAAUCCCAGCACUUUGGGGAGGCCAAGGUGGGAGGAUUGCUUUUGAGUUUGAGACCAGCCUGGGCAACGUGGUGAGACCCUGUUUGUACAAAAAAUUUUAAAUUAGCCAGGCAUGGUGGCGUGUGCCUAUAGUCCUAGCUACUCUGGAGGUAGAGGCAGGAGGAUCCCUUGAACCUGGGAGGUUGAGGCCACAGUGAGCUGUGAUUGUGCUAUUGAACUCUAGCCUGGGCAACAGAGCAAGACCCUGUCUCUUAAAAAAGACUAUUUUUUAAGAACACUUUUAGGUUCACAGCGAAAUUUGGAGGAAACUUGGCAUAUGUCAUAUGCCCCCUGCUCCCAUGCAUGCACAGCCUCUACCAUUAGCAAUGUCCCCACUCAAAUGGUACCUUUGUUGUAAUCAACAACCCUGUACUGACACAUCAUCAUCACCCAAACUCCAUAGUUCACAUUAGGUUUCACUCUUGGUGUGGUGUACAUUCCAUGGGCUUGAACAACUGUAUAAUGACAUUAUCCACCACUGCAGGAUCAUACAGAGUAGUCUCACUGCCCUAAAACUACUCUGUGCUCCACCUGUUUGUCCCUUCUUUCACUCUAAACUCCUGGCAACAACUGACCUUUUUACUGCCUCGAUAGCUUUGCCUUCUUCGGAAUGUCAUGUAGUUGAAAUCAUACAUCAUGAAGCCUUUUCAGAUUGGCUUCAUAUAGGUUUCCUUCCUUCCUUCCUCCCACCACCUUCCUUUCUUUCUGUAUUCCUAACUCUUGGAUGUAUUUUCCCCAGCAUCAUGACUUGAUGGGACUUUUGCUAAGAUAGGCAAUCAUAGAAAGUCAUAAAUCUCUUGUCAGCCUUAUUGGCUCACCUCCGAGAUGGUUCCAACACUCUUUAAGGCCCACUUUUCCAAUCCACAGAUUCCCCAGCAGAAGUCCAAGCUGCUGAGCCUCACAUCAUCUUUUGCACUAGUAAUCUUUACCACUACUUCACUGUAGCAUUUGAAAAUUUUCAUAUGAAGCCAUAGUUCUGUGUCUUUUUUUUUUUUUUUUUUUUUUUGGAGACGGAGUCUUAACCUGUUGCCCAGGCUGGAGUGCAGUGGCACAGUCUUAGCUCACUGCAAGCUCCGCCUCACGGGUUCAAGUGAUUCUUGCCUCAGCCUCCCAAGUAGCUGGGAUUACAGGCGCGCCACCAUGCCCAGCUAAAUUUGUUGGCAUUUUUAGUAGAGAUGGGGUUUCACCAUGUUGGCCAGGCUGGUCUCAAACUCCUUACCUCAGGUGAUCUGCCUGCCUCAGCCUCCCAAAGUGCUGGGAUUAAAGGUGUGAGCCACCGCACCUGGCCUGAAGCCAUAGUUCUUAACCUCAGUUGUGCAAUAGAAUUAUCUGGGGAAUUUAAAAAUUAGAAAAAACCCAUGCCCUGAAGAUUGUGAUCUAACUGGUCUUGCGUAGCGCCUGGGCAUUGGUAUUUUUUAAAUGUUUCCCAACUGAUACUAAUGUGGCCAUUCUGCAAGCCACAGUUGAAAGGCUUAUUCAAGCAUCCUGUUGCUGAAUGCAUGUCGUCCUUACCACAUGACUCUGGAGGUUUUCUUGUAUUCUGAUGUGGCUGCCCUGUUGAGGCCUGCCCCUUAGAGUGGAGAUUAUCCCCUGCAGUAGGCUGCCUGGAAUAUGAUCCCCAGUGAUCCCUGCUUCCUGGUAUUCAGGCCCUGGUGUGAUCCCUUUCCCUUGAAGCCUGGGCUGGAUUAGUGACUUGCUUCUAACCAACAGCAUAUGGC